ACGGCGGCCGGCGCUGCUGGCAUCGGUCGGCGCGGACGAGGAGAAGGCCAUGGCAGAGGAGGUCGACGGGCGGCGGCGCUGGCCCGCAGCUGGCCAGACGACGGGUGCGAGGCGACGGAACACACAGGGGACGGUGAGGCAUGGAGCGGCCACGGGGCGGCAGCCGUCACGGCUCCGGUGACUAGCGCGAUCGAGGGAGGAGCGGGGCGCAGCUCCUCUGGUCCAUGGCAGGAGGCCAUGGCGGGCAGGCGGUGAUGCGGACCAGGCCGGCGGAGGCGCAGGAGAGGAAGCAGGAGCAGAGGGGCGGCGGAGCUCCUGGUGGUGGUGGUCGACGCCGGCGGGCGCGCUUGCUGGAAGGAGGGGCGCUCGGGAGGAGGCCGCGGCGCUGAUCGUUGACGAGGGCGACGGGGAGGUCCGGUGGCGCGGCACCAAGGGCGGCGAGGGGGAGGUCGUGCGCGGGGUCUCGAGGUGGAGGCAGCGAGGGGAUCGGGCACUGGUACGAGGGGCUCCUCCUCUUUGGCGGCGCUGGAGGGAUCAAGAGGAGAGAGCGAGAGGAGAUGGGGGCUAGGGUUAGAUAGACAUCGGCUGGGCCUUGGGUCGUGAAGUGGAUGGGCCGGCGCGGUAGUUGGGAGGCCCAGCUGGGCUUUCUUCUCUCUCCCUCUUCUGCCAAAACUCUACUAAAAACAGAAAAAAAACAAAGAAAGAAA
This is a non-coding RNA of Aegilops tauschii subsp. strangulata, 707 nucleotides long. Lineage: Eukaryota; Viridiplantae; Streptophyta; Magnoliopsida; Poales; Poaceae. The record is from RefSeq and is a predicted model, not a curated record.